GAUGAACGCUGGCGGCGUGCCUAAUACAUGCAAGUCGAGCGAACAGACGAGGAGCUUGCUCCUCUGACGUUAGCGGCGGACGGGUGAGUAACACGUGGAUAACCUACCUAUAAGACUGGGAUAACUUCGGGAAACCGGAGCUAAUACCGGAUAAUAUAUUGAACCGCAUGGUUCAAUAGUGAAAGACGGUUUUGCUGUCACUUAUAGAUGGAUCCGUGCCGCAUUAGCUAGUUGGUAAGGUAACGGCUUACCAAGGCAACGAUGCGUAGCCGACCUGAGAGGGUGAUCGGCCACACUGGAACUGAGACACGGUCCAGACUCCUACGGGAGGCAGCAGUAGGGAAUCUUCCGCAAUGGGCGAAAGCUUGACGGAGCAACGCCGCGUGAGUGAUGAAGGUCUUCGGAUCGUAAAACUCUGUUAUUAGGAAAGAACAGAUGUGUAAGUAACUAUGCACGUCUUGACGGUACCUAAUCAGAAAGCAACGGCUAACUACGUG
RNAcentral lists this ribosomal RNA (497 nucleotides) under uncultured bacterium. RNAcentral's name for it is "partial 16S ribosomal RNA". It matches the Rfam family "Bacterial small subunit ribosomal RNA", at positions 28 to 507 of the family's 1533-position model. The record is from RNAcentral.